This 327-nucleotide ribosomal RNA is filed under the name uncultured bacterium. RNAcentral describes it as "bacterial SSU rRNA". It matches the Rfam family "Bacterial small subunit ribosomal RNA", at positions 28 to 355 of the family's 1533-position model. The record is from RNAcentral.
GACGAACGCUGGCGGCGUGCUUAACACAUGCAAGUCGAGCGGUAAGGCCCUUUCGGGGGUACACGAGCGGCGAACGGGUGAGUAACGCGUGGGUGACCUGCCUUCAGCUCUGGGAUAAGCCUGGGAAACUGGGUCUAAUACCGGAUAUGACUCCAUGAUGCAUGUUGGUGGGGUAGGAAAGUCUUUGCGGCUGGAGAUGGGCCCGCGGCCUAUCAGCUUGUUGGUGGGGUGAUGGCCUACCAAGGCGACGACGGGUAGCCGGCCUGAGAGGGCGACCGGCCACACUGGGACUGAGACACGGCCCAGACUCCUACGGGAGGCAGCAGU